GCUGCAUUUGUACUGGCAGAGGCCGUCCUCGCCGCCCAGGAGGUCGAGCGCCGCGUUGAGGUAAACGUCGAUCUUGUGCACGCCGUUCCGGAUAGUUUUCAGCGUCAUCCUCCAGUCUGGGGUCUGCGGCGCCUCCUGGCUCCGGGCCGCCGGCGGCCGCGGGCCCACCCAGGCACCCGCCAUCAGCAGCGGCAGCAGCAGCAGGGCGCGGGCCAUGCCCGAGGAGCCGCGCCCCGCGCCGCCGGGCGCUCGCUAAGCCCCCGCCGCGCGGCCGCAGCGCUCCGCACGCACGGCCCGGCCCGCCGCCAUCGGCCCCGCGGGCGCCGCCCCUACGGCUGGGCGGGACUGCGAGCAGGGCGCGGCCUGUUGGAGAAGGCGGCCGGCGUCCGCUCCUGGCCCGGCGCUGCGGUGUGGGGUGCUGGGAGCGGAGCUGCUCCGGGAUCUUUCCACGUGCGAGCGAUUCGCUUUCAGGUGAGGCAGGGUGGAACCACACGGGAAUCGUUCUAAUUUCUGCAACGAAAGCCUUGUUUUAAGACGUGUGGAAUUCCUCAAAAGACGGACAGAGGGAUUUUAGGACACAGGGUUUCCAGACACUGGGAGACCAGUAUAUUGUUUUCUGUGAAAUGGAGAAACGCCUCUGAUCAUCCUUGUUACUUCUUUCUCAGAAAGAUGAGAGGACUGGAACUUGCAGAUACAGUCCCCAUCCAGAAACCUUGCAUUUAUCGCCAGCCUUGAACAUAUGCUCUGACCAGGGGACGCAGGCAGGUGUGCUGUAUUUCAAGGAGCACUCUCCUUUUCCAUGACCUUUCAGCUCCAGCAGAGCGAUGUCAUUUUCAUAAGUUGCAGCAUCAUACUUCUCAUGGAUUAUCAGUUGCUUUAGUCUGUAAGUGUCUGUCUCUCUGUCAUACUGUAUUGUAUCCAACAGCCCAAUCCAGACACGGUAUUGAUGAACUCGAGUUGCUCUGGAAAAGGAGCCAAUGAAAUAUGUUUUGGUACCUCACACAAGCACUGUAUGUUUCAAUUACUCAUAAAUUUUUGCAUUUUAUCAAAGUUUAUGUGGAAUAAAUAUUCAUAUUAUACACGUAUAGUUUCUUUCUGGACUUGUAUGUCGCAGUUGUUCUGAAGGAGGUAGAAGGCUGGUGACACUUAUUGCUGAGUCCUGAAGCUAAUACAGAAAGACAGUACUAAAGGCCAGUGUGUUUAGUGCCCUCACAAAGAGAAAGCAAAGCUUAUGUCUCUGAUAUCAGAUGAAAGAAGAAUGGGCAAAUACACAUGGAACACUGGGCUCGGCAGGUCUUUCCUGCCCACUCCUGCUGGCUCUGGGGAAUAGGUGGCACCAGGGACAUUCUUGGGGGACAGGCACUAGACCUCCCCAGUGCUGAGAGGAGGUAAUUCGUAAUUACUUUUUUGCUCACUGACAAAAUGCUUUGUCUUUGAAUCCCUCCCACUGUUAAUGUGAGCAAAUCAGUGAUUUUAGUUGUGUUAUUGAAUGGGCAAGUAAGAAUUAGCAACCAAGUAGCCGAGAAGAGCAAUAAUGCACAGAUUCAUCUUUUCUACUUUGCAAAGAAAUCAUUUCUCAGGUUGUUGCUUUUACCUGACACAGUGUGCAGCAGUCAGAACCCAACAGCCACCAAUAUAAACCCCUCCACAGUACACUGUUGCACCUUCAGUGCCAGUGUCUUUAAUUGCCACUUGCCAAGGGAAUUCACCCUAUUAAAAUGACAGAAACCCAAAUAAUAUGAAAUCAUCAUUGUGCUAUUUUUUGUGCAUAAAGGGAAACACAAUAUCACUUCAUCUCCUUGACUUAAUCUGCUAUUAAGAAGUUGUCUGUAAUCUGGGCUCUGACAUAAAAGCUCUGUAUUCUAAACUACAGUAACGUUGUUGUCUUCUGACAUUAUGCAGUGUCUCCCUCCCCGCAGCUUUCUGUCAGGAAACUCCUAAAAAAACCAGAUGGAGGAUCUGACCUGGUAUGAUCAAACGUUACAUUUAUGACUAUAAUUAUCAUACAUAGCUAUAGUAUUAAGUAUUUUGCUGGAUUAUUUUCAACACAUACUUGCACUGUAAUGCUGUAUUUUGUAGCUUGGUGUUUUACCUUAUGAACUGUGCUUCUAUUUAUAUUCAUUCAGUGCAUUGUCACUACUAAUGUAAAACAUGAAAUUAAUGUAACUGAUUUUGUUAUUUCCGUACAUUUUAACAGAAGGACAAUAAUAACCAUUUAAAUUGUUACUGAAUGAACACAUGAGCCUAUAUUUGUAAGGUCUGGUUGUGUCUGUGUGUGGGGGGUUAUUAUUAUUUUUUACCUUUCUUGCAGUCUGUCCACCUAUGAUUCUUUUCCGUCGAGUUAAUGUGUGAUUUACAACACCGCAGUUUAUUUGGGGAAGGAAUGUCUUUGCCAGUUUUCUUUCUUUAACAAAAAGGAAGAAUGUGUCUCAGAAUUCAAGUAUUCAUUCUCUCUAUUUGGAGACAGACUUAUCUUUACCUUGAAAUCAUGAGUGCUGUGAGUAUGCAAGUGGCUGAAGUAGCAGGAAAGCAAAAGACCCAGAAUUGUUACAUCUAUUUUUGCUUUGAAAAUUACUUCUGUCUUAGCAUCACAAUAUUUCUGUUUAUUUUUCAUUACUGACAGCAUUCAGGUGAAUAAUUUCAAAGCAGUCGCCGUAGACUUGCUUAGAGUUUACCUCUAUCCGUUGCUAAUAUGUACAGAUGUGGAUCCUGAGGCAGGAUUAAUUAUUAUUGUGGUUGAGAUUAGUGGAAAGCUAGUCAAAUAGUUAAGCCCCAGAGUGUGUACUACUAAGCCACAAAGUCCAUGUAUCUGAGUGUUGCGAAUCUGGCCAACUGGCUGGUAGUUAGAAAGCCACUAAAAAGAGGGUAUACGGUGGUUUGUGGGCCGUUACUUACCUGCAUCCAUACUGUGAUUUUCCUCAUGUUUUGGUUUGCCUGUAGUGGAAUAAUAGAAUACUAAGAACAUUUACAAAUAUUUAUAUUGUUCUGUUACUUGAAUAUUUGGUUGUGUACCAAAAUUAUGGUACAUUUUCAACUGGAUAGGUGCAUAACAUUUCGCAUAGACAGAAAUACUCUGUAAGCAUUGUGCCUGCUGUUUUCUUUUUCCUAGGCACUCAUUGCUGCCAUAGCUUACAAAUGACUGGCAUCCAGCAGAUAUUGAUUUACAACUACAUGAUAUCUAGUCUUCUUUUCUUGUCCAGAGGACCAUUCUGCAAAGAAACCCUGUGAAAUGGCCUCCUUUGUUUUUUGUUUUUUUUUUUAAGUCUCUAAAGCGAUAGACUGCUCUCCUCUACCAGGAAACACCAGAAAUUCCCCCUCCUGCCCCGUCAAUCUUUUGGAGCUUUCUAAAGCCCAAAGGAGCAUUAGGUAAGAAGGUAAGAGGAUAUAUAUUUUUUUAACUUCCAAUUUAGAUGCUGCUGUUCUGUACUCUGUGCCUCCUUUAACAGGGUAAGGGAGGGUAUUCAACACCAGAGGUAAACUAAAUGCUUCCUGAAUCUGGUUUGUCAGCUUUUAUUCAGAGAAAAUACCCAUUGAAUUCACUUCCUAAUUGGAGGCUGAGGAUUGGCUCUAUUCUCAUGUUACUGACAGUAAUGUUUACUUUUAGGGUUCAGUUUACCUUUACCAAUUACUAUGUACCGAAAAUGUUUACUUUUUGGCUUUAGACUUUGUCUCUUAUCUAAAAUAUUCUAAGUUCAAAACAAAACAAGGUAUUUUCAGUGGUAAGGAGAAUAGUACAGAUGAACUAUUAUAUUAACAAACUAGUUAAAUUAAUUCCUUAUACACAAGGAGAAUAUUCCUGCCUGCUGCAUCUACAUUUUCUUCCCAAAAACAGGAUACCGGUUUGAUAGAUGUCCAUGCAUGCAAAGGUUAUAAUCUACUUUAAGCCUCAUAAAACAACAUCUGUUUUUUCUAUCCUUUAGUUUUUUAGUAGAAAGGGAAGGAAAAGUAUGUAACCUUUUCUUAGUCUCCUAGUAUGUGUAACAUAACAUCAGAAAGACUUAACUCUUGCAUGCAUUUUGGUUUUGCUAAUUUGAUAAAUGACUUAAUAACAUGCAUUGUGUAGUCUGUAGGUUUAAUUUAGCAUAACAAAAGCAAAAGAAAGAAAAACACAUCUUAGAAGGAAACCUGAACAGAGAGCUUGAGCUUCAUCCUCUCCUGUUAGGCAGUCAACUUCUUUGUUACACACAUUCUUAUUUGGAAUACAGAUAUUUGAUCGACAGUGGAAACUGUUGUUUCUGCAUUCUGUAAUAUAAAAGAAGUAAAAUGGUAAAGCACAGGACUAUAUGAUUCAGUGACCUCACGUAUUUAGAGGGCUUCUUAAAAUAUAAACUCGAUAAAAUAUCCAUGGUAUGGAUACUUUAAGGGACUUUGCUAUUUAUAAAUAGAUCCUGAAAGUAGGGUCUGUAAGUGUAAAAUGAAGUGAAUACUUGACUCUGCUCAUUUUUCUGUCUUGGUGUUUUAAAAUUUAUGAGUUUAAGAAAGAUCUUAUUUUAGUUUAAGGUAGUUCAUUGGAAAAACAACAACAACAACAACAACAUGGUUUUGUUUGAUUACUGUCAGUUUUGCCCUACUGAAAAUACAUUUAAUUCUGCCUAAUACAGUUGGGUUUUGUUUCUUUGUUUUUGUUUGUAUCAACAGCCUCCUAAGUCUCAGUAUUUUUUUUUAUUAUCAGAAGAAAUCCAGAUCCUCAGAGAUCAGUUGCUUGCUUUGGGAAAUUGCAUUAUUUAUAUUAUUACAAUUAUCUAACUGUAGAAUCAUAGAACUUUUUUGUGCUUUCCUACACAGAAACUAUAGUUUUCUUACCUUAAUACUGUGACUUUGCAAUAGAGACUUCAUUGUUACAUCACUGUAAAAAUUAAUUCUUUGGAGAUGGUUUGUUGCUGAAAUGUUUUUUAAACAGCUGAGAGAAUAAACUAUUACCUUUACAACACAGUUCAUCACUUAAGUCUCCGCAGUCAUUUAUACCGUCACAGGUUUUAGUCACAGAAAUGCACUUGUCAUUUGCACAAUGGAACUCACCAGCUGAACAUUCUGUACAGUGAGAUGAAAAUGAAGUUAGUAUAGAAAUGACUGUAGGUUCACAACUGCCCAAGGAAAUACUCAGCAUACACAUUUUAUUCAUUCGACAGAUUGGCCUCUCAAAAGUAGGCAUCUUAAAGCCUAGUUAAGUAAAUAGGGAUCUUUUUUUUUUUAUUGUUUUCAUUGCCUCCUCUUCAAACUUUCAAUGUGACUCUGUAUUUUCUUCCUCCAACUUUCAGUAACCUGGCAAAAGGGAACUUUGUUUCUUCCAGACAAGGACUAAAGUAGAAACAUUAGCUUCAGUUGAUCUCCCAGAGCAAGAACAAAAGAAGUAGGUUGUCACCUGUCUCCUCAUCAGUUAAACUAGGAGAGACAAGAGUUGUGGGAUAUAAUAUGCUUUGGGAGGGAUGGGGGAACAGCCAGAACCAAGGGUGAAAUUUGUCCACUUUUGGGUAGUAUCUGUCAAGAUAUUCUAGGAGCAACAGUGCAUUAUUUUCCAAAGCUGUAAAUUCAGGAUUGCCUCAGUUGUCUUAAAUGUUUGCAAAAGGAUUAUUUAAAAAAAGAUAAAAAUUAAAAGAUUUCAUUGAUUUCAUUAGUGGCUGAGAUUUCAGCAGAAUAGAUCCUCAAUACAUAUAUUUCAAAUAAACUUAACAUGAAGAGCUGUAAGUAGAUUUAAAGCCAAAAAAACCCUACUAACCUCGGAGAGUUUUCUGGCACUGGAGGCUAACAAAUCCCUCAUUACUAGCUCUUAAUUUCUUCUCUAUGUAACAUUCAGCAAGACUUGUCUCUAGGCCUCUGCAAGUUAUUUGGAAGCAGUGUGAUGGUUCUGUGAUGUUGUAGAUGGUGUGGUAAUAUUCAGCACCUCUGUAAAGAUAAAAAUAAUAACAACAAAUUCUCUAAUUUCACAGUGGAUUGCCCUCUCUUUUUAUUGUUUAGAAUUUAUGAUUUUCCUCAGUGUUAAAGAACUUUGGAUGUGGCUAAGGAAAUAAAAAAAAAAAAAACCAAACAACAGAUUUCCCAUGGAGUGGCGUAAGGGUAAGGAGGAAAGUAGGAGAUAUUUACUUUGGAAGAAAAGGUUCAACAAAGUGCAUCAUAGAGCUGGCACUGAAUAUGUGACAUUCUUAUCUGUUCCUGUGUAUGGUGAUAGAUAGAAACCAUCUUGCAUGAGGCUGAGUACCGGUGGUAUCAUCAAAACCAAUGCAUAUUGAGGAAGCUUAGGCCAUUGCGAGAUUGGCAUUUAUUAAACACCUGAAUGCAAUCCUCUAACAGUGUGUCUCUCUUCUCUCUUAAGAAAAUAAGGAAUGAAUAAAUAAAUAAUUGGAGAGACUUGCAGUGGGAGUCAAGGGCUGAAUGCUCUGUCCCAGAACAAACCUCUCUCUAUGCUAUCUAAAGAGGUAUGAAUCAGGACUGGGAAAUAUUUAAUUCUCAUCUACAGGGGACAGAUUUAGGCACUGUGGUAGCAUUCUUAGUUUCUGUGUAGAGUUGGAGAGGCAGUCCUAUUUGGCUCAGUUAUGCUAUUGCUUAAAAUGAUUAUGUACAGGAUAUAGAGUUGAUUCUUUAUGAUGACCUCAACAUGUAACUCAGAUCAUUGGUGUGGUCUUGGGAAAAAGAACAAGCUGUUUGUGGCCUCAGCUGUUUCUGGUGGGCAAAGCAAGCAAUGGUGGCAGGUCAGGAGAUGAAGAAAAAGAGCUGUGUUCUGGUUCUUGUUAGUCUGGCUGCUGCGAGUGGCAAAACACAGCUGUACCGUUUGGCUAGCCAGUUUAAGAAACUUUUCUCUAUAUGCAAUUCAUUGAUCAGAGCCACCUGGGGAUUGUCCAUCUAUGCACUUUCCCUUAUACAGACCUGAGAGAAAACUCAUCUAUCAGACUUCAACUUUAUUUUAAAAGUAAAAUAUUAAUCAUUUGAACAGUUGUUAUUUGUACGAAAAUGCAGAAAUCUGCUCUGGCUUUUGCUUUCAAGAAGCUUUACUGUAACCGAUAUAUUGUUCAUGAAUUUUCUCUUAAUAGUUGGCUGACUGACUGACCCUUAUAUAAGCAUCACUAUUUGUUCACAUCCAUUGCAGUCACAGAGAGAGAAAUUCCCUGAACUUACAAUUCAAAGCCAAGGUGUCUGCAGGCCACAUUUGCUUCAUUCAUUGUCCACAUACUGUCACAUACAAAAAGGUCCUCAUUAUUCACAGGUUUUACUUGGAGCAAAUGUGAAUCAUUGUAGACCAAGGAGAUUUUAAAUGUUUCUAAAAAAAAAAAAAAGAAAUUAAAAAAUUCCCUUAUAAAAUUGUAUUCUAUGGAUGUAUGUAGUGGAAAGACAGCACAGGAAGAAACCAGACCUAAAGUAUGUUGUUGGCAUCCAGAGUUCAUAUGGAAUGAACAGUAGGUUGGGGAUCAGAAGCUUAAGGUAUUACUGACAUUAUGGCUUUGAGCCUGCUGCUUUUUCAAAUAUACCAGCUUCAGAUCAAAUGAAGAUAACAGUUCCUGUCCUGGAAGCAUACUUGAAGGUCUUCUGAGGAAAGGUUGCAUCUUAGUGUAAGACUUUUGUUAGAGGACUUUCAGUAAUCAAACAAAUGAAUGACUGAUACCUUUUGAAAAAAAGAGAUAUUAAUACCUGUGGACAUGCAUUUUCCCUUGUUCAGAAACUUUGCUUCGGAACGUUGACACUCAAAGCUCUUUAGGUGGCAAUAAGUAUAAAAGUUCUUUCCAGUGGUAGAACAAACUGAAGUGCCGUUCUUUGGACACUGGUAGGGAAGCUUACAGAGGCAUUUUCCCUCCACACAUCGUUCCCAUGGGUGACAAAAAACUUUCUUACAGGACUUGUGUGUGUAUUUGUUGCUUAAACAUUCUUCUAUAAGGUAAGUGUCUCGCUCAGCUGGCUGACUGUCUUGCUCAACUGGCUGAGCAGGCUCAACGUAUGAAGACUGUUCUUCUGUAUCAUUAGAUGAUUCAUUCUGCAAGGCACAAAUUAAAAAAAAAUGCCAAAACCAAAUAGUGAACAGGACUGGAGAUGGCACCAGCAGUUCUGCAGAUCCCUUGCAUACGUCAGCAGAGUGAUUGGGAGCCUUUUCCUAUCUUGUAAAAAUGGAAGUGCUAAAUAUCAUCUAUAGUGUUUAUCCCCUUGUCUUUGAGAUAUCCACCUUUCUGUUUUUCUGGAUUUUUUUUCUUUUUUCUUUUUCAGAUCAUUCCCCUGGUGUGAUUUUCACUCUUCCUGGUCACCCACAAGCUAUACUCUUCAAAAAUCAGCUGAAGUGCACAACAGAUGAUAAACAUUUCAAGCCAGUGGUUUAUAGCACACCACAACAAUGGAACUGUGAGCAAAUUAAAAUAUAAGGGGACUUCACAGAAUCACACAGAAUGGCCUGGGUUGGAAGGGACUUCAAGGAUCAUGAAUCUCCAACCCACCCCCCUGCCCCCCCGGCACUGGCAGGGCCACCAACCUCUACAUUUAAUACUAGAGCAGGCUGCCAAGAGCCCCGUCCAGCCUAGCCUUGAACACCUCCACGGAUGGGGGAUCCACAACCUCUCUGGGCAGCCUGUUCCAGCACCUUACCACUCUCACAGUAAAGAACUUGCCCCUGACAUCCAACCUAAAUCUUCCCUCCUUCAACUUAAAACCAUUUCCCCUUGUCCUGCUAUUAUCUCCCCUUUCAAAGAAUUGACUCCCCUAACUUGGCUUAAACACCAGAAAAAUGAAAUUAAAAAAAAAAGAGUAGCAACUUGAUUUUUUUUCAAGACCUUUUUAUUGUCCCAGUUGACCCAGUUGACAUAACUAUAGCCAAUAACUACUUAGAAACAAAUAAAUCUAAAAUUGAAGAUGUGUUUCAUUGCAAGUAACAAGUAUUAAGUAUCUUCAACAAAUGUGAAAAUUAAGUGCCCUUCCCAGUCUGUUUUGUUCCCAUAUCUUGGAUGGCAGUGGGUUUGCAGUGUGGUUUCUGGUUGUUGUGGACUGCAAGGAGUGCUCCUUAUCCCUCCAUCUGACCAUCUGUCUCUAGGUGAGUGAUAACACCUAUCCUGGCAGCUCUCUGGUUAUUCCAUUGCUGGCUGAGUGCUUUUGCUCACUAAGAUGUGUGUGCAGGGGGAAUGUUGAAAUGUGAAAAAUAUGUAGCUAGACUUUGCAUAAAGAUGAGAAAGAAAUGUCAGUUGUCAGAUCGGAUUUAUCGGCUUUGAGUGCAUCCACUGAAUCAACAGAGCCAAAGUUUAAAGUUCUCGUGAAGAAAUCCUGGCCUAAGUAAAGGCAGUGGGAAUGUCGCCAGGGCUGAAUUUAUUCCGAGCCCCUCCCACCCUUUUAAGGGCUGUAUAAUCUUAAUAAAUUCUUCCUGUUCUUCUCAGGUCAGUAGAAUCCUAUGCAUUAUCUUUAGAUUUACAUACCAAACUCUGAGCCAGGCCCGGCUUGGCAUAACUCCUGUAUUGCACUAGAUGUUUCUCUUUAGCUCUGACAGAAUAGCAACAAAAGGGGCUGAUCUUUACCUACGGGUUUUUCUUGGAAAGCUCAGGCUAUGCUGAACAUGGAGCCCAUCAGGACUCCUUGAGAGGCUUUUGCCAGAAGAGAUUUUACAACAAAAGCUUUCUGAGCUGAGCCACACUUGCAGGUUGGGUUUAGCAUAGCAUCCCGAUUAAAAGAUUUUCCAAAAGGCUGUUAAUGUAAACCUCAGAUAGAACCGAUAUACAGAGGAGAAACAGCAAGAUUCACAUUUUCAAGCUGGACUAAAACAAAUGUACGAAAUGCAGAUGCUGCAAAAGGAAAUUAAAAAAGACUUUGUUUUUAUAAUAAUAAAUUGUUUUAACUGUUUGCUGUUGGUUGGUUUGUUUUUAAAAUAAGGGGAUACCACAAUAAAAUAAGUUCUUACCUGUGCUCGACAGAAAGAAAAGAGAGAGAAGCAAACCAAGAGAACUGCAACCACUCUCAUGAUGAGGUUUUAUGUCUUUGUAGAGAAAUUCCCCUGGCCGGGACUUUCCCAAUUGCCAGUCGUUAGGUUUGUGUUUAAUUUUUAACCUUUGGUAAAACACUCUGAAGUGGACUCAGAAACAACUACGGGAGCCUUAGAUAUCAACGGAUGAGUCUGCUCUCUCCACACGGAUCCCACCCCAUUUAACCUGUUUUACUGUAAAUAGAGACCAAAGGGAAGCCCUUGAAGCCAACGGUUACAAGGGAGUGCUCAGCAGGGUCUCUCGCUCCCCGCCUGCUGCCAACGCAGACCGAUGGAGCCGCGGGCCGAUCUCCUGGCAGCAGGCACCCCGCUCUGCAGGGAGCUGUUAGGGCAGGUGCGUUCUUAGGUGAGAUACGUGUGUCUGUAUGCAGGCAGGCAAACGGAACGGAUCAACUCCACUAUCUCCGUGCGAGAGCGUAACCGGCGGAGCCUUGCUCAGAGAACUGUUGGGGCAGUGGCCAAUCCACUGCAUCCCACCUGCGGGCGGUUUCCGGGAGAACCGCGGUCUCGGCCGGCACAACGGAACGGCUCCUGCGA
RNAcentral lists this long non-coding RNA (10474 nucleotides) under Gallus gallus (chicken). The record is from RNAcentral. Lineage: Eukaryota; Metazoa; Chordata; Aves; Galliformes; Phasianidae.